AGUGUAGGCGGUUUAGCAAGUCGGAUGUGAAAUCCCAGGGCCCAACCCUGGAACUGCAUCCGAUACUGUUAGGCUAGAGUCCCGGAGAGGAUGGCGGAAUUCCCGGUGUAGGGGUGAAAUCCGUAGAUAUCGGGAGGAACACCAGUGGCGAAGGCGGCCAUCUGGACGGUGACUGACGCUGAGACUCGAAAGCGUGGGUCGCAAACAGGAUUAGAUACCCUGGUAGUCC
This 229-nucleotide ribosomal RNA is filed under the name uncultured bacterium. Its description in RNAcentral is "partial 16S ribosomal RNA". It matches the Rfam family "Bacterial small subunit ribosomal RNA", at positions 568 to 796 of the family's 1533-position model. The record is from RNAcentral.